GACGAACGCUGGCGGUGUGCUUAACACAUGCAAGUCGAACGGUAAGGCCCUUUCGGGGGUACACGAGUGGCGAACGGGUGAGUAACACGUGAGUAACCUGCCCUCAUCUCUGGGAUAACAGUCGGUAACUGUUGCUAAUACUGGAUAUGUGCUUGCAUGUCAUCUUGUGGGUUGGAAAGAUUUUUUUUGGUUGGGGAUGUUCUCGCGGCCUAUCAGCUUGUUGGUGAGGUAGUGGCUCACCAAGGCUUCGACGGGUAGCCGGCCUGAGAGAGCGACCGGCCACAGUGGGUGUGAGAUACGGCCCAGACACCUACGGGUGGCAGCAGUGUGGAAUAUUGCACAAUGGACGGAAGUCUGAUACAGCAACGCCGCGUGAGGGAUGACAGCCUUCGGGUUGUAAACCGCUUUCAAUUGGGACGAAGCUUUUUUGUGACGGUAGCAGUAGAAGAAGCACCGGCUAACUACGUG
This 468-nucleotide ribosomal RNA is filed under the name uncultured bacterium. Its description in RNAcentral is "partial 16S ribosomal RNA". It matches the Rfam family "Bacterial small subunit ribosomal RNA", at positions 28 to 507 of the family's 1533-position model. The record is from RNAcentral.